Molecule: ribosomal RNA, 122 nt
Filed under: Exophiala spinifera
Lineage: Eukaryota; Fungi; Ascomycota; Eurotiomycetes; Chaetothyriales; Herpotrichiellaceae
Source: RNAcentral
GCAAUCGACCAUAGGACGUGUUUAGAACAGGGCUUCCCGUCCGCUCAGCCGUACUUAAGUCACGUGCCGUUCAGCCAGUACUACCGCGGGUGACCAGGUGGGAAUCCUGAAUGUUGAUUGUC